This 1435-nucleotide ribosomal RNA is filed under the name uncultured organism. RNAcentral's name for it is "SSU rRNA". It matches the Rfam family "Bacterial small subunit ribosomal RNA". The record is from RNAcentral.
GGCCUAAUACAUGCAAGUCGAGGGGUAGAGAGAGCUUGCUUUCUUGAGACCGGCGCACGGGUGCGUAACGCGUAUGCAACCUACCUUUAUCUGGGGGAUAGCCCGGAGAAAUCCGGAUUAAUACCGCAUAAAAUCACAGAAUAGCAUUAUUUAAUGAUCAAACAUUUAUGGGAUGAAGAUGGGCAUGCGUGUCAUUAGCUAGUUGGCGGGGUAACGGCCCACCAAGGCGACGAUGACUAGGGGAUCUGAGAGGAUGGCCCCCCACACUGGUACUGAGACACGGACCAGACUCCUACGGGAGGCAGCAGUAAGGAAUAUUGGUCAAUGGAGGCAACUCUGAACCAGCCAUGCCGCGUGCAGGAAGACUGCCCUAUGGGUUGUAAACUGCUUUUAUCCGGGAAUAAACCUUUCUACGUGUAGGAAGCUGAAUGUACCGGAAGAAUAAGGAUCGGCUAACUCCGUGCCAGCAGCCGCGGUAAUACGGAGGAUCCAAGCGUUAUCCGGAUUUAUUGGGUUUAAAGGGUGCGUAGGCGGCCUGUUAAGUCAGGGGUGAAAGACGGUAGCUCAACUAUCGCAGUGCCCUUGAUACUGAUGGGCUUGAAUGGACUAGAGGUAGGCGGAAUGAGACAAGUAGCGGUGAAAUGCAUAGAUAUGUUUCAGAACACCGAUUGCGAAGGCAGCUUACUAUGGUCUUAUUGACGCUGAGGCACGAAAGCGUGGGGAUCAAACAGGAUUAGAUACCCUGGUAGUCCACGCCCUAAACGAUGAACACUCGCUGUUGGCGAUACACAGUCAGCGGCUAAGCGAAAGCGUUAAGUGUUCCACCUGGGGAGUACGCCCGCAAGGGUGAAACUCAAAGGAAUUGACGGGGGCCCGCACAAGCGGAGGAGCAUGUGGUUUAAUUCGAUGAUACGCGAGGAACCUUACCCGGGCUUGAAAGUUAGUGAAUGAUCUAGAGAUAGAUCAGUGAGCAAUCACACGAAACUAGGUGCUGCAUGGCUGUCGUCAGCUCGUGCCGUGAGGUGUUGGGUUAAGUCCCGCAACGAGCGCAACCCCUAUGUUUAGUUGCCAGCAUGUAAUGAUGGGGACUCUAAACAGACUGCCUGUGCAAACAGAGAGGAAGGAGGGGACGACGUCAAGUCAUCAUGGCCCUUACGUCCGGGGCUACACACGUGCUACAAUGGAUGGUACAGAGGGCAGCUAGCUGGCAACAGUAUGCGAAUCUCACAAAGCCAUUCACAGUUCGGAUUGGGGUCUGCAACUCGACCCCAUGAAGUUGGAUUCGCUAGUAAUCGCGUAUCAGCAAUGACGCGGUGAAUACGUUCCCGGGCCUUGUACACACCGCCCGCCAAGCCAUGGAAGUUGGGGGUACCUAAAGUAUGUAACCGCAAGGAGCGUCCUAGGGUAAAACCGAUAACUGGGGCUAAGUCAUAAC